AGAGUUUGAUCCUGGCUCAGGAUGAACGCUGGCGGCGUGCCUAACACAUGCAAGUCGAACGAGGUAUUGAGAGCUUGCUUUUAAUACCGAGUGGCGGACGGGUGAGUAAUGUAUGUGCAACCUGCCUUUCAGAGGGGGACAACAGUUGGAAACGACUGCUAAUACCGCAUAAUGUUUUUGAGCGGCAUCGCUUAAAAACCAAAGGAGCAAUCCGCUGAAAGAUGGGCUCAUAUCUGAUUAGUUAGUUGGUGAGGUAACGGCUCACCAAGACUGCGACCAGUAGCCGGACUGAGAGGUUGAACGGCCACAUUGGGACUGAGAUACGGCCCAGACUCCUACGGGAGGCAGCAGUGGGGAAUAUUGGGCAAUGGGCGAAAGCCUGACCCAGCAACGCCGCGUGAAGGAAGAAGGUCUUCGGAUUGUAAACUUCUUUUAUGAGGGACGAAGGAAGUGACGGUACCUCAUGAAUAAGCCACGGCUAACUACGUGCCAGCAGCCGCGGUAAUACGUAGGGUGCGAGCGUUGUCCGGAAUUACUGGGCGUAAAGAGCUCGUAGGUGGUUUGUCGCGUCGUCUGUGAAAUUCCGGGGCUUAACUCCGGGCGUGCAGGCGAUACGGGCAUAACUUGAGUGCUGUAGGGGAGACUGGAAUUCCUGGUGUAGCGGUGAAAUGCGCAGAUAUCAGGAGGAACACCGAUGGCGAAGGCAGGCCUCUGGGCAGUAACUGACGCUGAGGAGCGAAAGCAUGGGUAGCGAACAGGAUUAGAUACCCUGGUAGUCCAUGCCGUAAACGGUGGGCGCUAGGUGUGGGGGUCUUCAACGACUUCUGUGCCGUAGCUAACGCAUUAAAGCGCCCCGCCUGGGGAGUACGGCCGCCAGGGCUAAACUCAAAGGAAAUUGACGGGGGGCCCGCACAAGCGGCCGGAGCAUGUGGAAUAAUUCCAAUGCAACGCGAAAAACCUUACCUGGGCUUGACAUAUGCCGGAUCGGCGCAGAGAUGUGCUUUCCCUUGUGGUCGGUAUACAGGUGGUGCAUGGUUGUCGUCAGCUCGUGUUGUGAGAUGUUGGGUUAAGUCCCGCCACGAGCGCAACCCUUCUUUUGUGUUGCCAGCACGUUAUGGUGGGGACUCGCGAGAGACUGCCGGGGACAACCCGGAGGAAGGAGGGGACGACGUCAAAUCAUCACGCCCCUUACGGGCAGGGCCACACACGUGCUACAAUGGCGGGCACAGAGGGGAGCGAGCGCGCGAGCGCGAGCCGAUCCCGAAAGCCCGCCCCAGUUCGGACCGGGGGCUGCAACCCGCCCCCGCGAAGCCGGAAUCGCUAGUAAUCGCGGAUCAGCACGCCGCGGUGAAUACGUUCCCGGGUCUUGCACUCACCGCCCGUCA
Molecule: ribosomal RNA, 1385 nt
Filed under: uncultured bacterium
Lineage: Bacteria
Description: partial 16S ribosomal RNA
Rfam family: Bacterial small subunit ribosomal RNA
Source: RNAcentral